AUUUAUUUUUAUGUGAUGCUGAGGAUCAAAUCCAGUGCCUCACCUGUGCUAGGCAAGUGCUCUACCUCUGAACUAUAACCCUGGCCCUGUUUAUAUUCUUAAUAGUAGUAAUGUCAUUGUGUAUGAGAAGAAUUUAGUUUUAUUAGUCAGGAUUGGCCAAAAGAAGUAAGGGAGAGAGUUUUUUUUUUUUUCCCCCAAGGCUGGAGCUUUGUAACCCUUAACCUUAAAGCUAUCUAACCUUCUAGAAUUGUUUUCAUUUUACACUUAGCUCAGUUGGAGCAGGAAGUAUUGUAUAAACUUCCUUCAACCACUGACAAAGCAGAAACCUGCAAAGAACUCUAUUCUUUUUAAGGCCCAGACUUUAGUAGAAGAUAAAACUAUACUAUUUCUGCUUUAAAAGAAAAAUGUUCUUUUUCGUAUUUAAUAGUUUAUAAUGAUUUCAAUGCUAGAGGACAGGUUCAAGUUAGUAGGGGAUGCUGAGGUAUGUAUAACCAGGGUCCAUAGUUGCAAGCUUAUAACAUGUAUGGUGUAGUCUUACGGGAUUUCUGGUACUAAUGCAAAACGAGGCUUGGAAACCAGGCAGAAGAAAGGGAGGAUGGUAGCAGCAUGAAAAAUAAGUCCUAAGCCCAGUCUGAUGAUAACUUUCCUGACUUGGCCACUCAGUACUGCUGCCACUGGACACUGGAUACCAUUGGAUUUGGUCUGUCAAAUGCAAUACUUAGUUAUACUGGAAUUUCAAACAAAUGAAGCUUUUUAGUGCCAAUAUGUCCCAUGCAAUAUUUGGGGCAUACUUAUACUCAAAAAAAUUACACAGAAAAUGAUUUGUUGUUUAUCUGAAAUUCUAAUUUCACUGGGCUGCCUGUAUUUUCACGUUAAAUCUGACAGUUCUGUUCUGGAUGUCCCAUUGCCAUUGCCACCCUUGUCCUUGGAAACUAGCCAUCACCUGCCACUCAAAUGAAUUUUCCAGGUGGUCCCUGGCUUUUUGGUUCAUGGGUUCUGAAAUGAACUUGACUGAGACAGAUAUGUGUCCUCAGAGGAGCAUCUGCUACAAGCCCCUGCUCCAACUGUGAGGGAGGUCAGAGAGCUCACAGGGCUGUUAGUGGGAAGUGGCCUCUGUCCUCCCCUGUGUCUUAAAUUUUUCAAAGAUGGAGGGGGGAACAGCAGGGAGGUUUAGAUAUGAGGACAGAGGGAUACCAAUGCCGCAUUCCUCCUCUUUCUUAUUAUUCAGUAUCCUGUGAGUUGGGGGCCAGGAAUGGUUAAUAUAAUUCUCUUUUCUGGUGGCUGGUUUAAGAAUCCAAACCUAAGGCAGCUAGCAGGUGGCAUCACUCUGGCCAAGGUUAUUUCAGAAUUAUAAACAUGAUCUAAACUGGGCCAAUGAGCUAUGAGUCUGUUAAAAGGGUCUAGGGAAAGUUAACUUUAUUACUGACAACCUGCAUAAAGAAAAGAUCUCGUUUUCCUAUCACAUAUUGUUUUAUGUCCUGUUGAAUCCAGGAAAUCCUUGUCGUCUUGUUUCCAGUUUGAGAUGAAGAACAAAGAGAGAAAAUAAGGGCAGAAAGCAUCUGAGUAUUUACUGAGAAUGGAGCUGGAACCAUUGAAAUAUACAAAAGCAUCUCAAUGAUAGAAUGUUUUCUAGUCCCGAAGCCUGUCCUACAUCUGGACAUCAGCUCUGUGCACUGACAUGUUUUGAUUUGGCUCACACAACUUCAAGUUGGGUGCUCCGGUGCUUAUAGCCAAAGACAGCUCCACAGAAAAAAGGAUUCGUGAAUGUAUGAGGCAGCUU
Molecule: long non-coding RNA, 1780 nt
Filed under: Marmota monax (woodchuck)
Lineage: Eukaryota; Metazoa; Chordata; Mammalia; Rodentia; Sciuridae
Source: RNAcentral